Molecule: ribosomal RNA, 380 nt
Filed under: uncultured eukaryote
Lineage: Eukaryota
Description: partial 18S ribosomal RNA
Rfam family: Eukaryotic small subunit ribosomal RNA
Source: RNAcentral
CAAUAGCGUAUAUUAAAGUUGUUGCGGUUAAAAAGCUCGUAGUUGGAUUUCUGUUGGGAACGACCGGUCCGCCCAUUGGGUGUGUAUCUGGCUUGUUCUCGGCAUCUUCUUGGUGAACGUUGCUGCACUUGACUGUGUGGAGCGCUACCCAGGACUUUUACUUUGAGGAAAUUAGAGUGUUUCAAGCAGGCAUAUGCCUUGAAUACAUUAGCAUGGAAUAAUAAGAUAGGACCUCGGUUCUAUUUUGUUGGUUUCUAGAGCUGAGGUAAUGAUUAAUAGGGAUAGUUGGGGGCAUUCGUAUUUAACUGUCAGAGGUGAAAUUCUUGGAUUUGUUAAAGGCGGACUACUGCGAAAGCAUUUGCCAAGGAUGUUUUCAUUGA